Non-coding RNA from Pelobates cultripes (western spadefoot toad), 203 nucleotides. NCBI's taxonomy places the organism in Eukaryota, Metazoa, Chordata, Amphibia, Anura, Pelobatidae. The record is from the annotation of a GenBank genome assembly.
CUGUCACAAAUUUAACUGUUUAGUCCCUCUUACCACUCCAUCCCACGCACUAGACUGGGAGGCGGGCAGAAGGACAAGCAGGGCUGACCAUUAAUUUCCGGGCAAAGCGCGGGCGAGCUAUGACUUUAAUGCUGGGGUAUGCUAUUUUCACUACAUACAGGGUAUCACACAUCCGCUUCAUCUGCUCCAGAACUCACACCUAG